UGAUCAUUAAAGAAGCUACGUUGGUACUUGAAGGCAGCACAACUGCAGCGUCAACCAAUAAAUAAAAGCUUUCAGUCGACAGAAGCAGCAGCAGCAGUGUGGGGAAAACUGCUUUACACUCAGUGCUUUUAACCACCGGAAUAUGUGAAAAUACAUUUAACCGCGCUGCUGUUGUUAGUAUGACGAAUAAAACUACACUAAAGUUUUGGAAAAGGUUCAAAUUCCAAACCACGUCAAUUCAUCUGUCGUGGCAGCCACAGGAGUCUCUGUCUGGACACAAAGAAACCGAGGAAGAUUUAAAACAUCAGAUGCCUGAUCCACUCAUUCACAAUGUGAUCCCCAUGAAUCCUGGCAUCGUGAUCUUACAACAUGACCAUGCCACCAGGGAAGAAAAACUCCAUUGAUGGAAAGACCUGGUCAUUCAGUAUAUUCAUUUUGUAUUGGAAAUGAAAGAGCCAAUUUUGACUUCCUUUCUUUCGCAAAGUAUAUAAUUUCCUUAAAGUCACAAUAAAGACACAACAGAAAACAUGUAUGAAAGCUUUACCUAUUUGUAUGUCAUAUCAGUAUUUAAUAUUAACCUUGCCCUGGUACAUUUUACCCCAUGUACUCUUUUCCAUGCCUCCUGCCGGCCCUUACCUUACUAACUGCACCAACUGGGUAAGAAUACGAGUAUAUGUUGGAUGAUUUGCAACACAAUACAUAAAUUUAUAGGCAACAAUAAAACAAAUUUUAUUUGGUAUUAUUGAACAGUAACUACAGCAACAUAUACAGUACAAAGCAAGUUGUUUAAACAACACUGGACACAAAGAAAGCACAAAUCUCUGUUUCUAUAGAAUUAAGGCACAUUUUAAAGCCAAAAGUACCAUUAGUUCUUAUAAAAGCAACAUCAGUCGAUCAUAGUUUUACAAUAUGUUAAAAGUUCAAGUAAAAUGAGGUCUGAGCUUUAAGCUCUAAAUUGAUAAGGAAUUGUAACAUGUUCAGUGUUAAAAUACUAUCACACUUUAGUAUUUUGUGGUCUAAAACACUGGCAAUGUAUAUGCAGAUAUUUUUUCAGCUUUGCGUGGAGCCCAUUUCAUAAGUCAAUAAAUACAGUAAUCUGUAUAAACCAUACGUUUGUAUAUAUAAAUAUAAAAAAACAAAACAAGGAUUGAUACAGUUAUAAAUGAUCACAUUUAACCUCUCAGAAAACAAGAUACUAGAUGUAAAACUCAUGACCGCAAUAAGUUCAGUGCUACUAAAAUAGCGUAAUUUACGUUUGGAUUUUGAACAGCAGUGUUUAACAGUAACAUAUUUACUGUCUAUGUUGGACACUUGGUGUUACAAGCGUCACCUGACUUGAAAAGUCCAUAGACACUGACCAGCGGGAACAUGGAGAUAGCACCGAGCAUGGAGCCCAGCUGCACUACAGCUCCACACCACACAAGGGCGCUGUGGCCCUCAUCCCUCAGAAUCACUCCAAUGAUGACCUUCACGUAGGAAAGGGACAGGACAAAGAGGAUCCAGGCCAGCACCUGUACCAGAGAAGAGGUCAAUAUUGUGCAUGAAACGACAUUCGGUCCUGGUGUACAGAAAUAAAUACGACUGCAAAGUGUCCUAGUCUGACCUCAACAUGUUAACCGACUCAGUGGCUUUCAGUUCUAUGCAGCAUGAAGUAGUUGGAAAAGGAAGUUUUAAAAUCCAAACAAUCACUAAAUCAGUUCAUCGGGUAUUUCAUUCUCUCAGGCACAAACAUGGCAAUGAAGCAGGCCACAGGGUUGGCAACAGCAGCCAUGGUAGCAGCUAGAUGGUAGGCCUUGUUCCCGUAAGGCAGACAGGAGUAGGACUGCACUGAGGGCAGCACUGCGUUGGUCAGAGCAUUG
Long non-coding RNA from Amphiprion ocellaris (clown anemonefish), 1859 nucleotides. RefSeq lists it as uncharacterized. The record is from RefSeq and is a predicted model, not a curated record. NCBI's taxonomy places the organism in Eukaryota, Metazoa, Chordata, Actinopteri, Pomacentridae. The transcript has 3 exons.